UAGCUGUAACCGAUGCGGACUUGGUGUUGGGGUGGCUUUGAGCUGUCCCAGUGCCGAAGGGAAGCUGUUAAGUCCGCCGCCUGGGAAGUACGGUCGCAAGACUGAAACUUAAAGGAAUUGGCGGGGGUGCACCACAACGCGUGGAGCCUGCGGUUUAAUUUGGAUUCAACGCCGGACGUCUCACCAGAGGCGACAGCUGUAUGAUUGUCAAUCUGGAGGUUUUACAUGACUAGCUGAGAGGAGGUGCAUGGCGUCAGUGAC
This 261-nucleotide ribosomal RNA is filed under the name uncultured archaeon. RNAcentral's name for it is "partial 16S ribosomal RNA". It matches the Rfam family "Archaeal small subunit ribosomal RNA", at positions 748 to 1007 of the family's 1478-position model. The record is from RNAcentral.